Molecule: long non-coding RNA, 351 nt
Filed under: Marmota monax (woodchuck)
Lineage: Eukaryota; Metazoa; Chordata; Mammalia; Rodentia; Sciuridae
Source: RNAcentral
AUGUAAUGAACAGCUAAGCAAAAAAAAUAAAGAAAAGAAAAGAAAAAGCAAAAACUAGCUACUAGAACAGGGAUCUGAAAAUGACAAUCCGUGGGCCAAAUCUAGUUGUGUAUGUAAAUAAAGUUUUAUUGGCACGGCCAUACCCAUUCAUUUAACUGUUAACUGUGACUGCUUACCCAUCUCAACAGCGAGGUCCAACAGCUGCAACAGAGACCAUGUGGCCCACAAAGCAAAAAAAAUUUACUAAUUGGUCCUUCUGUGGAAGAGUUUGCCCACACCUGAACUGUAUCAGACUUGGAGGAAUUUCUCACUGGCUAUUCCUCCACUUUCAGUCUUGGAUUUCCCCCUUUC